GUUCGCGUAGCUUAGAUGGAUAAAGCGUUUCCCUCCGAAGGAAAAGAACGCAGGUUCAAGUCCUGCCGUGAACA
RNAcentral lists this transfer RNA (74 nucleotides) under Acholeplasma sp. CAG:878. It matches the Rfam family "tRNA". Rfam says of the family: Transfer RNA (tRNA) molecules are approximately 80 nucleotides in length. Their secondary structure includes four short double-helical elements and three loops (D, anti-codon, and T loops). Further hydrogen bonds mediate the characteristic L-shaped molecular structure. tRNAs have two regions of fundamental functional importance: the anti-codon, which is responsible for specific mRNA codon recognition, and the 3' end, to which the tRNAs corresponding amino acid is attached (by aminoacyl-tRNA synthetases). tRNAs cope with the degeneracy of the genetic code in two manners: having more than one tRNA (with a specific anti-codon) for a particular amino acid; and 'wobble' base-pairing, i.e. permitting non-standard base-pairing at the 3rd anti-codon position. The record is from Rfam by way of RNAcentral. Lineage: Bacteria; Bacillati; Mycoplasmatota; Mollicutes; Acholeplasmatales; Acholeplasmataceae.